UAAUCUGUCUAGAGCAUAUUCUCGUUUAGCUAUGACAAAUCCACACUUAAUUAUUUUAAAUCACCCGUUAUUGCAAGUCCGACUACAUUAACUUCUUUCUCCCGCUGAAUCUGAUUCAACAUUUGCUCUUUCUAUGAUA
Molecule: non-coding RNA, 139 nt
Organism: Populus trichocarpa (black cottonwood)
Lineage: Eukaryota; Viridiplantae; Streptophyta; Magnoliopsida; Malpighiales; Salicaceae
Source: Rfam